This 78-nucleotide transfer RNA is filed under the name Candidatus Melainabacteria bacterium. It matches the Rfam family "tRNA". Rfam says of the family: Transfer RNA (tRNA) molecules are approximately 80 nucleotides in length. Their secondary structure includes four short double-helical elements and three loops (D, anti-codon, and T loops). Further hydrogen bonds mediate the characteristic L-shaped molecular structure. tRNAs have two regions of fundamental functional importance: the anti-codon, which is responsible for specific mRNA codon recognition, and the 3' end, to which the tRNAs corresponding amino acid is attached (by aminoacyl-tRNA synthetases). tRNAs cope with the degeneracy of the genetic code in two manners: having more than one tRNA (with a specific anti-codon) for a particular amino acid; and 'wobble' base-pairing, i.e. permitting non-standard base-pairing at the 3rd anti-codon position. The record is from Rfam by way of RNAcentral. Lineage: Bacteria; Bacillati; Candidatus Melainabacteria.
GGAACUGUAGCUCAGUGGUAGAGCGGCUCAGCGAAAGCUGAGUGUCAGUCUGCGCGGGUUCGAAUCCCGUCAGUUCUA